Molecule: long non-coding RNA, 2330 nt
Organism: Boleophthalmus pectinirostris (great blue-spotted mudskipper)
Lineage: Eukaryota; Metazoa; Chordata; Actinopteri; Gobiiformes; Gobiidae
Exons: 6
Source: RefSeq, a predicted model, not a curated record
CAGUUCGGUGGGUUUGGGGGCUGGUGGUUGUGCUGACCGUCUGUGGAGUGAUUGUGGCCAGUGUCCUUCUGGUUCUUUCGCUUCUCUGCACCAAACACGCUCCUGCAAAUUCAAACUACACCAUAUCACAGGACAGAAACGUUGAAGCUAACCCCCAGAAUCCCUCCAGCAGCAACACGCCUGUGGAUUCAAGUGCAUUUUACAGUUUAAUCACCUCUGCUCCAGCAAUCGAGGGCACAUCCAAGGUCGACAGAAAGCGGCUUAAAAGUGAAGUCCAAUAUGAUAGCAGCACAUAUCACGUCUAUGCCACCAUCCCAGACGCCCCAGCCCCUGCAGCAGAGGUUUACAGCUGUAUCACAAAAGUGUGAUAUAUUUUUACAGUUUGAAUACCUGUAUUAUGCCUUACAUUUGGGUUUGGGUUCUCUCUUUUUUUUUCUUUUUUUUUGUAUUAUAACAAUAUAACAGACUGUAUAUAUAAAUGGACAUAGUUAACCCAAAUGAGUUUCCCACUUCUGGCCUCAUCCACUCUUGCUCCAAUUCACUUUCUAUUGAAAAAAAAAACAAAACAAAAAAAACGACACCUCUCUGUAACUGCUGCUGCCAUGUUGUCGUCAUGUCGUCAUGUUGUUCUUAACGUGUUCUUAUUAACCCACUCUGCAUAAAUCCUGAUUUUGCUGUUUGUUUGUCAAUCAAGAGAUGAACAUUAAUGACACAUCGAGUGGGGGAUUGGCUCUUUAGUUGCUAUUACUCGUUACCCGCGGUCAGAAAUCCAAAUAUGGAACUCCAAAUUCGCCCCCAUAACUCUUAGCCUCUAUAAGUGUUUUCAGGUCAACAGAGAACCGUGCCGGUUCCGGUUCCUGCACCUAAUCUUGAACCAACUCACGUGUUCAUGCCAGAAAUCAGAGCAUUCGGGAACCGAAAAGUUGGUUCCCAACGGGAACUUAGAAAAACUGAGUAAAACUUGUUUUUUCUAAGCCAACUGUGACAACUUAGAAGAAUUCAGCACGUUCAUCCGGGUCACACGCGAUAAAAUAAACAAACAGAGCAAUUGAAACUAUCAUGUAUUAAAUGAAAAGUUUUAAGUCUACACAAACUAUGACGUACCAUUGGUCUUGCAUGUAUCCGUCUUCACCUUUUAAGAUUACAUCUUUGUAUUGGGUGUCGCUGUCAUCUUCUCCACAGCAGAUCAAUGUUGUAGCAGAGCUUGACGCACAUAAAUAAUGACUUGUAUAAGUGCAAAUGCUCACUGGUGUUGAUUAGGGUGACCAAGCGUCCAUUUUUCCCCGGACAGGUCAGUUUUUUGCAUCCUGUCCUGGGCGUCCGGGUUUUUUUUUUUAAAGUGAUGGAAAUGUCCGUGUUUUCAGUACCGUUCAUUGGGGCCAUUAAACUGAGCGUCUCUCGUAGCGUCUGUGCAUCAGAAGGAGUGAGACACAAACAGUUGGUCGGUCUGCAACAUGCUGAAGCGUAAAUGCACAUUUAACAAUGACUUGUACAAGAAAUUCUCCAUUUUCCAUCCCGGUCGGGACAAGUGGGAGACCAUGUGCACAGGUUGCGAAGUGAGAGUACAGUGGUCCCUCGUUUAUCACGGGGGUUAUGUUCUAAAAGAACCCACGAUAUGUGAAAUCCGUGAAGUAGUCAACUUUAUAUUUUAUAUUUAAUUUAUUUUAUAUUUAAUUUUAAUUAUUAUAUCUGUUUUAAGGCUGUAAAACCCCUCAGCACACACUUUUCUCACACAGGACAGUUACAACCCUUUUUACUUCCUUCUUAAAACUUUUGUUAUUUUCCUCCUUCUUUAUGUAAGGAACCGAAGAUUAAUUUAUUCCGUAAUGGAGCCCUACAGCACAGAGUCUUACAUGGGUCCAUUUUUGGAGACUCGCAGUACAGCACCGCACCCGCCCGUUAAUCCGAGAUUAUAUCAAACUUUUGCACUGCCUGCGCCAUGGACUGAACCAAGACUAAACCAGGACUAACCCUGGACUAACCUAGGACUGAUUCCAGGACCGAACAAGGAGGGCUAAACCAGGAUUGAACUAGGACUAAAACAGGAGUAAAAAGGACUAAACCAGAACUGAAACAGCACUCACUGUCGGGACGAUCUCAGAGGUGACCACAGGAUAAAGGACCGAUGGAGAGCUCCGCACCUUGCGACGGUAAAUGCAGCAAUUACCCGAUCGCGCUUUGUGGGCAAACUGCUCGAGGUUCUCUCUCUUAAGUCCAAGAUUAGUCCUGGUUUAGACCUGGUUUAGUCCUGACUCACCCGUGUGUAAUUACUACCCGCCCGUAAUAUGCAAUACGCGUUCAUAAAAAACAAAAACAAAAAAAAAACACAC